CAGCAGCCGCGGGAAUACGUAGGGUGCAAGCGUUAAUCGGAAUUACUGGGCGUAAAGCGUGCGCAGGCGGUUCUAUAAGACAGAUGUGAAAUCCCCGGGCUCAACCUGGGAACUGCAUUUGUGACUGUAGAGCUGGAGUGCGGCAGAGGGGGAUGGAAUUCCGCGUGUAGCAGUGAAAUGCGUAGAUAUGCGGAGGAACACCGAUGGCGAAGGCAAUCCCCUGGGCCUGCACUGACGCUCAUGCACGAAAGCGUGGGGAGCAAACAGGAUUAGAUACCCGGGUAGUCCCUGUCUCUUAUAC
This 301-nucleotide ribosomal RNA is filed under the name uncultured bacterium. RNAcentral describes it as "partial 16S ribosomal RNA". It matches the Rfam family "Bacterial small subunit ribosomal RNA", at positions 509 to 807 of the family's 1533-position model. The record is from RNAcentral.